UUCGCAAUGCCCGAAAGGGUGACGAUGCGACGCCGCGUGCGGGAAGAAGGCCUUCGGGUUGUAAACCGCUGUCGGGAGUUAAGAAAUGCAAGGAUAUUAAUAGUGUCUUUGCUUGACUAAGGCUCCGGAGGAAGCCACGGCUAACUCUGUGCCAGCAGCCGCGGUAAUACAGAGGCGGCAAGCGUUGUUCGGAAUUAUUGGGCGUAAAGAGCACGUAGGCGGCUAUGUAAGUCGGUUGUGAAAGCCUUCCGCUCAACGGGAGAACAGCAUCCGAUACUGCAUGGCUUGAGUGCGGGAGGGGAGAGUGGAACUUCUGGUGGAGCGGUGAAAUGCGUAGAUAUCAGAAGGAACGCCGGCGGCGAAAGCGACUCUCUGGACCGAAACUGACGCUGAGGUGCGAAAGCUAGGGGAGCAAACGGGAUUAGAUACCCCGGUAGUCCUAGCCGUAAACGAUGGGCACUAAGUAGAGGGGUUUU
This 476-nucleotide ribosomal RNA is filed under the name uncultured anaerobic ammonium-oxidizing bacterium. RNAcentral's name for it is "bacterial SSU rRNA". It matches the Rfam family "Bacterial small subunit ribosomal RNA", at positions 365 to 832 of the family's 1533-position model. The record is from RNAcentral.